Molecule: RNase P RNA, 220 nt
Filed under: Escherichia coli
Lineage: Bacteria; Pseudomonadati; Pseudomonadota; Gammaproteobacteria; Enterobacterales; Enterobacteriaceae
Description: partial RNase P RNA component class A
Rfam family: Bacterial RNase P class A
About the family: Ribonuclease P (RNase P) is a ubiquitous endoribonuclease, found in archaea, bacteria and eukarya as well as chloroplasts and mitochondria. Its best characterised activity is the generation of mature 5'-ends of tRNAs by cleaving the 5'-leader elements of precursor-tRNAs.
Source: RNAcentral
GAAGCUGACCAGACAGUCGCCGCUUCGUCGUCGUCCUCUUCGGGGGAGACGGGCGGAGGGGAGGAAAGUCCGGGCUCCAUAGGGCAGGGUGCCAGGUAACGCCUGGGGGGGAAACCCACGACCAGUGCAACAGAGAGCAAACCGCCGAUGGCCCGCGUAAGCGGGAUCAGGUAAGGGUGAAAGGGUGCGGUAAGAGCGCACCGCGCGGCUGGUAACAGUC